GGCGGGCCGCGGCGGCGGCGCUGGAGUUGAGGGUGGAGGGCCCCCCUCGGGGAGGCCGUUCUAUCACGCCGCGCUUCGGGACGGGGCGUCUAGGUGUCGGAGCACUUGCGAGGAUACGCCCUUCCAGAUCCACCUGGAGUGGACAGACACCACAAGUUUGGCUGCUUGAAGCUGUGUUCUCCUGAGAGGGACUUUGACGCUUAAAAUGAACUGUCAAUGGCAUGGUCUGUAGGAUCGUUUCCCAGGGAAAGACUCCAUGAUUCGGUGAGCACUCUGUUGAUUUAUUUGUCUGUUGGUCUAUCUAGAAUUUUCAGAAUCAUCUAUGAUAAAAGAAUGAUGAUUUGCCAUCAGAAGCAGCUAAGCCUCAGAAGUAUUUUGAGCAAUAAAUGAAAUGAACGUAAGGACACUUUGAAAACUGAAAAGCACAUACAAAUGCAUAGUUUUACUAUGUUUCAAAACUAUUCUGAGAACCACAUAUAUACAUAUGUUUAUCUGUAGAGAACUGGUUAAUUAUUAUAUAUUAUUAUAUAGCAAACAUCUUUGGAAAGAUUCCAAAUGUAAAGCUUCCAUUGACCUCAGGAUGUGUUACCCUAUUGGCAUCAUUAUGUGACACAUGGAGUAUUGCCAACCAGAGAAACUUGCCUAAAGUUCAGUGUCCACAGUUUUUAUUGGGAUUUAGACAAAUGGGCAUGAUUGAUUGAUUGAUUGAUUGCCCAACGGUUGAAUUCAAUCUCUAAUCCUGACCACUUUCCCAGAGGCUGGGCUGAUACCAAGUGGUCCAAUGCAUCCACCAUUCAUCACCAUUUUAGCAUAAACUGUCAGUGUUGUUUGAGGGGUCCACCAUGAAUGACAAAAGACUCCUAUUGCUCUAGAAACUCCAGCAACAUAUCG
Long non-coding RNA from Panthera uncia (snow leopard), 891 nucleotides. RefSeq lists it as uncharacterized. The transcript is spliced from 3 exons. The record is from RefSeq and is a predicted model, not a curated record. NCBI's taxonomy places the organism in Eukaryota, Metazoa, Chordata, Mammalia, Carnivora, Felidae.